Molecule: ribosomal RNA, 466 nt
Filed under: uncultured bacterium
Lineage: Bacteria
Description: partial 16S ribosomal RNA
Rfam family: Bacterial small subunit ribosomal RNA
Source: RNAcentral
GACGAACGCUGGCGGCGCGCCUAACACAUGCAAGUCGAACGAGCGAGCGAGAGCUUGCUUUCUCGAGCGAGUGGCGAACGGGUGAGUAACGCGUGAGGAACCUGCCUCAAAGAGGGGGACAACAGUUGGAAACGACUGCUAAUACCGCAUAAGCCCACGGCUCGGCAUCGAGCAGGGGGAAAAGGAGCAAUCCGCUUUGAGAUGGCCUCGCGUCCGAUUAGCUAGUUGGUGAGGUAACGGCCCACCAAGGCGACGAUCGGUAGCCGGACUGAGAGGUUGAACGGCCACAGUGGGACUGAGACACGGCCCAGACUCCUACGGGAGGCAGCAGUGGGGAAUAUUGCACAAUGGGGGAAACCCUGAUGCAGCGACGCCGCGUGGAGGAAGAAGGUCUUCGGAUUGUAAACUCCUGUUGUUGGGGAAGAUAAUGACGGUACCCAACAAGGAAGUGACGGCUAACUACGUG